This 485-nucleotide ribosomal RNA is filed under the name uncultured bacterium. RNAcentral's name for it is "partial 16S ribosomal RNA". It matches the Rfam family "Bacterial small subunit ribosomal RNA", at positions 30 to 506 of the family's 1533-position model. The record is from RNAcentral.
AUUGAACCCUGGCGGCAUCCCUUACACAUCCAAGUCGAACGGCAGCACGGGUGCUUGCCCCUGGUGGCGAUUGGCGAACGGGUGAGUAUUACAUCGGAACAUGUCCUGUAGUGGGGGAUAGCCCGGCGAAAGCCGGAUUAAUACCGCAUCCGAUCCACGGUUGAAAGCGGGGGACCUCCGGGCCUCCCCCUAUAGGGUUGGCCGAUGGCUGAUUAGCUAGUUGGUGGGGUAAAGGCCUACCAAGGCGACGAUCAGUAGCUGGUCUGAGAGGACGACCAGCCACACUGGGACUGAGACACGGCCCAGACUCCUACGGGAGGCAGCAGUGGGGAAUUUUGGACAAUGGGCGAAAGCCUGAUCCAGCAAUGCCGCGUGUGUGAAGAAGGCCUUCGGGUUGUAAAGCACUUUUGUCCGGAAAGAAAUCCUUGACUCUAAUACAGUCGGGGGAUGACGGUACCGGAAGAAUAAGCACCGGCUAACUACGU